Molecule: non-coding RNA, 1164 nt
Organism: Lactuca sativa (garden lettuce)
Lineage: Eukaryota; Viridiplantae; Streptophyta; Magnoliopsida; Asterales; Asteraceae
Source: RefSeq, a predicted model, not a curated record
CUCUUCUAUUCCCCCGAUCUGCGAUUAGAGCUCCUCCUAGCAUCUCUGAUCUGCAACCAACCGGCGACUACCUCUGCCUCCGCCUCCAUCAUCGCCUCCACCAUCGUCGUCGGAAGCAAAACCCUCCGGCUCCUCCAAAGCCGUCGACGCAACAUACUUCUCCCUCCUGCUGCCUGUCCGACCUGCAACCCACCAACGACAACCAGCAUCGCCUCAGUCUCUUGUCGUCACCACCAUUGUCGAAGUUGUUGCUGUAGCUGGUGGACCUUACCAUUGAAUCCGAUUUCAGCUUUUUUUCACUCAAGUUUUGCUACUUUGGGUGAUUUUAAUUGGAUUAAUCUUUGCACUUGUGAUUCAAUCUCUUGCUGCAAAUUUAGGAGUAUGCACGGGGAAGCAUCUAUCAGAAGUAUGCAAGGCUGAAUACCCAAUAUUUGUGAAGUAUUGCCUAUGGUUGCUUGCUGAGAUUGCAGUCAUUGCAGCGGAUAUUCCCGAAGGUAAAAUUUUAACUUAUCUAUGAUGAGGUGAACCACACUGAAAGAAGUAUAAAACAACCAUUAUAUCAUCAUCAUCCAUUUGACACAUGUCAUCAUCAUAUCUACUUGAACCCCAUCCAGAAAAUUUCUCAGGGUUGCUUCAUGGAUGUUGGAAUUUGAUUGCUAGGUGUUCCCUAAAGCCAGUUUGAAAACACCAAAUCAGAGUCUAGGACACUGAUACUUGGAGAAAUAUAUCCGAGAGCGGAAAGAGAAAUCGUAACAGUAGUGUUAAUGGUUCCAUCUCGGUACAUACAGGUGGAUCAAUUACAACAGAACAACACCGCAAGAAGAUGAAGAAGGCAAGGGGGAAGAUCCUUUGUGGGUAGUAACAAUUUUUAUGUAUUUAAUUAUUUUUCAAGUGUUUAGAGUAGUAACAAUUUUUAUGUUUUGGCAAAUUGUAGGACAAAUAUGAGAAGCAAUGUGUGAGAAAUAUGGCCCCGUCCCUAUUCAACAUCCGUUGGGUCAUCAGAUCCGGACAUCGUUGUGUCGGGGACACCUUAUGAGUAUGGCUCAUCAUCCCAUGAUUAUGCCUUAUAUCAAAGAAGGCAUGUGUCUAUAUUAUGAUAAAAUUGUAAAGUAUGUUGCUAUUUCCUUAUUUAUUUUAUACUAAUUAUAUGUUUGUUGGACCAUA